This is a non-coding RNA of Pelobates cultripes (western spadefoot toad), 109 nucleotides long. Lineage: Eukaryota; Metazoa; Chordata; Amphibia; Anura; Pelobatidae. The record is from the annotation of a GenBank genome assembly.
GACAGAGUUAGGGAGGGAGUGACUAGUGACAGAGAGAGGGAUGGGGUGACUAGUGACAGUCACCCCCUCCCUCACUCUGUCACUAGUCACUCCCUCCCUCUGUCACUAG